UCUCUCUCUCUCUUCUCAAGAAAAAAAAAAAUCAAGAAGUCUCAUUCAUCAUCUACUUUUAGGGUUUUGCUUCUAGGGUUCAAUCAAGUUCUUGUAGCAAGAUUCAAUCUCAAACCUAUCUCUCACCCAAGUGUUUGAAGCUCUCUCAAUCUAUGGUUUAAACCUAAAAGAGAUAAGUUUUUUUGUAGUGAGUUUGAAGUGAAAUUUGUCCAGAAAUUUAUUGGAUUUGUACCCUAAGCCACGAAUUUUUAGACAUAGUAAAUCAUCUUCAAAUUUUAUGAAAUUUUUAUAGGAUGUUCCUCUAUGGGUCUACAACGUUGUGUAAAAAUUUGGAAUUAAGACUCCUUAAAACGAAGUCAGGAAAAAUCUCGCACUAGACUGCACUCUGUUUAUUACUGCUACAGAAUCUCUGUUUUGGCCUUCGAUUUUUGGUGUGUUUGAUCUAGUUUCUCAUCUUUUUAUUUUCUGUAACUUUUAUGUGAGGUACCCAUAUGUGUCUAGUAGAUUGUGUCCAAAAAUCGGAGUAGAAUUCAAAGAAAAUAAUUUUAAACAAUUCAUACACUAAGCUGUGUUCUAUGAGUAAUAAUCCUGAAAUAUGCAAUUUUGUUCCUUGUUCUUCUAAUUUGUAAGGGAAGUUCUUGGUCACGUAAAUUCUCAAGAAAUUUUGAUACCAUGUGCAUAUGAGUCCUCUUUAUGUUUUAAAAUUUUCUAGACCUAGUUCAUUGUUGUUUAUUCUCAAGAAUAGUUGGAACGAGUCAUGGUUAACUUGUCAUUUUUUUUUUUUUGGGAUCAUGCAUGUGUAUUAUUUUAUGAGUUCUUUAUGUAAAUGAUGUGUGUUCAUAUAUAAUAUAUAGGAUUUGGUGAACAAGAAAAGUAUAUAAGGUACACAAGUUGAUGUUUACUUGAAAUGCAAAGGAAAGGGAUAAAGUAUGAUGGCUUAUAGGUACAAUGUUUUGUGCAAGUUUGGGCUUCAUGGAAUCGCUUUGCAUAUAGAAAGGAAGUAGAAAGAAUACUUGUAUUUUUAGGCGUGUUUUGUACUUGUUUCCCUUAUGAUCAAGGAGGUAUAUAUUUUUACAAAGUGAUGUACGUAAGCUAUAUAUGUAUUUUAGGGAAAUGUUAUGGAUGUUCAUACUAAUGUAAUUAUGAUAUCAUGAAAGUUAUCAAUGUAUGCAUGCUCUAGACCAAAUGGGUUGUGUUCAUUUUGCUUAAACUUGUUUAUGGUUACUUUUAUUAAUAGACUCCAUAAAUUUAAGUAAAGUUUUCUUAAUCGCUUCCUCAAAUGUUCAUUUUUUUUUUUAUUUAGAGCACUUUUUCUUGAGCCCAUUUGGUUAUGUAAGAAGGCCUUGUUGGCCGGUCACGGGGUCGUGACAGGAGGCUUAAACGGUGGAGAGGUUUGCGAAUAUUGAAAUUGAACAUGGAUCAGGAUUGACAAUCGAGGAAAUUAAGCAGUAAAGAUUGCAGUAUAAGGUAGCAAAUUCAUUUCGGAAAAUGACUUACGAAAAAUUUAAGAAUAAGUCAUUUUCAUCCAAUUAAUGAAAAAUGUUUUACAUGUAAAAUAUUUUUCUCAUUUUUUAUACAACCAAACACCGAAAAAUCGAUAAAAUAUUUUACCGGAAAAUAUUUUACGCCCAAACAAACGGAGCCUAAAUCUUUUUUUCAUCAGAGUUUUUUGAGUGAAAAUUAAUUAUUUUAAUUUAUUUAUAGUAAAAAGUAUUUUAUUUGCGAAUUUGAUAUUAGAAGUUAAAAAUAAAAUUGAAAUAACUGAAGUAAAAAAAAAAAACCUUAUGAAAACAUUUAUCGUGUGCUUUAAGUAAAUCUACAGUCACUUAAGCAUAAUUAAUUUAGAAUACAAGUGAUGGAAGAAUUGUCAUUAUCUACCUAGUUCUAAAAUAAAUAAAUAAAUAGUUCAAAAUAAAUAAAUCUACCUAGAUCUAACUAGAGAAAAUAAUAAAAAAUAAUUAGUUUGCGAAAAGAAGGCCUUUUGAGAGUAGAACCCAGGAAGUGCUGCUUUAAUAACAAUUAUCGAACCAGCAGUGCUGCCACUCCU
Long non-coding RNA from Rhododendron vialii, 2047 nucleotides. RefSeq lists it as uncharacterized. Lineage: Eukaryota; Viridiplantae; Streptophyta; Magnoliopsida; Ericales; Ericaceae. The transcript has 2 exons. The record is from RefSeq and is a predicted model, not a curated record.